Molecule: ribosomal RNA, 101 nt
Filed under: uncultured bacterium
Lineage: Bacteria
Description: partial 16S ribosomal RNA
Rfam family: Bacterial small subunit ribosomal RNA
Source: RNAcentral
CCACCCGCCCGUCACGCCAUGGGAGUUGGUUUCACCCGAAGGUGGUGCGCUAACCUAGCAAUAGGAGGCAGCCAACCACGGUGGGAUCAGCGACUGGGGUG